CUCUGUUAGUAUCACUGGGUGUUGCUUCGUGCCGUCAGCCCGUCAGCAGACGGUGCGUGCCGCGGACGGGCUCGGUGCCGGCCACAUGCAUGACGGAACGUCGGAACGUGAUCAUAUAUUCUGCAUCAUGUACGUGGAGGAAACUGCAUGCGUCUGCGCCCACGAGGCAGCGCGCAUGGCUUCCCACUCCCAAAGUUUCAGUUCCGCAUGCAUGCACGUGCUGUAUCUGCAUGUCGAUCGGGGGCUCGGGGCCCGCCCGCCUGGCCGCCGACGCCGGUGAGGAAGCCAAGUUCGCUAGUGCUACGGCUUGCCGUCUUCUUCGGCGGACUUCAAUGGAUCCAGUAGCAUGG
Molecule: long non-coding RNA, 350 nt
Filed under: Sorghum bicolor (sorghum)
Lineage: Eukaryota; Viridiplantae; Streptophyta; Magnoliopsida; Poales; Poaceae
Description: long non-coding RNA (SBIC_LNC003716)
Source: RNAcentral